CCUACGGGUGGCAGCAGUGAGGAAUAUUGGUCAAUGGGCGCGAGCCUGAACCAGCCAAGUAGCGUGAAGGAUGACUGCCCUACGGGUUGUAAACUUCUUUUAUCAAGGAAUAAAGUGAGGCACGCGUGCCUUUUCGUAUGUACCUUAUGAAUAAGGAUCGGCUAACUCCGUGCCAGCAGCCGCGGUAAUACGGAGGAUCCGAGCGUUAUCCGGAUUUAUUGGGUUUAAAGGGAGCGUAGAUGGGUUGUUAAGUCAGCUGUGAAAGUUUGCGGGUCAACCGUAAAAUUGCAGUUGAUACGGGCAGUCUUGAGUACGGUUGAGGUAGGCGGAAUGCGUGGUGGAGCGGUGAAAUGCUUAGAUAUCACGAAGAACUCCGAUUGCGAAGGCAGCUUACUAAACUGCCACUGACAUUGAUGCUCGAAAGUGUGGGUAUCAAACAGGAUUAGAUACCCCAGUAGUC
RNAcentral lists this ribosomal RNA (460 nucleotides) under uncultured bacterium. RNAcentral's name for it is "partial 16S ribosomal RNA". It matches the Rfam family "Bacterial small subunit ribosomal RNA", at positions 338 to 795 of the family's 1533-position model. The record is from RNAcentral.